AUUGAACGCUGGCGGCGUGCCUAACACAUGCAAGUCGAGCGGUAACAGGUGUAGCAAUACAUGCUGACGAGCGGCGGACGGGUGAGUAACGCUUGGGAAUCUGCCUGUUAGUGGGGGACAACCCGGGGAAACUCGGGCUAAUACCGCAUACGCACUACGGUGGAAAGCCGGGGACCGCAAGGCCUGGCGCUAACAGAUGAGCCCAAGUCGGAUUAGCUAGUUGGUAGGGUAACGGCCACCAAGGCGACGAUCCGUAACUGGUCUGAGAGGACGACCAGUCACACCGGAACUGAGACACGGUCCGGACUCCUACGGGAGGCAGCAGUGGGGAUAUUGGACAAUGGGCGAAGCCUGAUCCAGCGACGCCGCGUGGGUGAAGAAGGCCUGCGGGUUUGUAAAGCCCUUUUCGGUGGGGAAGAAAGCCUCGAGUUAAUACCUCGGGGUCUUGACGUAACCCCAUAGAAGGAGCACCGGCUAACUCUGUGCCAGCAGCCGCGGUAAC
This 502-nucleotide ribosomal RNA is filed under the name uncultured bacterium. Its description in RNAcentral is "bacterial SSU rRNA". It matches the Rfam family "Bacterial small subunit ribosomal RNA", at positions 29 to 524 of the family's 1533-position model. The record is from RNAcentral.